Long non-coding RNA from Bombus impatiens (common eastern bumble bee), 1050 nucleotides. RefSeq lists it as uncharacterized. The transcript is spliced from 2 exons. Lineage: Eukaryota; Metazoa; Arthropoda; Insecta; Hymenoptera; Apidae. The record is from RefSeq and is a predicted model, not a curated record.
AUCUGUGAAAACGAUACAGAGAUCGUCAACGUUCGUUGCAAUUUGUUACAAAAAUAUUUUUAUAACCGGACGUUUGAAUUUAUUAGUGUUUCGAAAUGAAAAACGUAGAUAUAUUUUAAGUAAACGGAGACUGUAACGUGAUUUCAUUGUGGGAGCUGUGUGCCAACGUUUCGAGUGGAUCUGAUCGACGUCCCGUUGGUGAUUAGACGCGGCUGCGAUAUUGAGUUUCGCAGUUGGACUGGUGUAACUUUGGAGAGUCCUGUAGUGUUGAGAAUGUCGUGCGGGAGAGUUUGUCGGCGAUGAGGAACAACUCGGUGGUCCUAUAGCUGAUUCAGGUCUCGUAUCGAGUCGAACGCUUUCUUCCGAGACGUUCACGUCCUUCAGGUCUUUCGGGGAUUCUUGAAAGAAAUCGAUUUUUAUUUACCUUCAACGCAUUGCUUCGUAGAAUACAGGAAAAACCAAGAUACCUUCGGAAGAAUUUCUUAUUUCUGAUAUUUCACUACUUCAUAUAAAAGACUAAAAAUGUAGCACGAUUUAUACUGACAUAAUCUUCAAGUGGAAUUUUUAAAUGGUUUUACAUAUGAACGUUUUAUAGAAGAAAUAACAUAGAAAUGUAUGUGACGGAGCUAUAUGAAAGCAGCAAAUAAAUGUUCAUCAAAAAACACAGUGAUGAAGAUGGUAAGUUAUAUAUUUUCUGCCAUUCUUCUUUUGAUAUUAAAACAGGACUAAUUUUUGUCUCUCAUUUUCUUUACUUCUUUCUCUUGUUUAAAACGAGUCACACGCGUUCUACGUUAUUUAGGUCAGAAUAUCAUUUAACGUAGCAUUAAAAAAAAAAAAAAAGAGAUUGUAAAUAAGGAAAAACCAUAAAUUAUCCAGUCUAUGUAAAAAUAUCUAAAAGUUUCCACGUGAAAACAUUUUCUAUAAAUAUAUUUACUUGCCAUUAUAAAACAAGUAACGUAUACCUUGCAAUAGUUUUGCAGUGAGGCUUUUGUACGAUGUUGUGUACCUUCAAAAUUGAAGAAAGGUAAUAAAGUAAAUUACUCGAUUCAA